CCUACGGGUGGCAGCAGUGAGGAAUAUUGGUCAAUGGCCGGAAGCCUGAACCAGCCAAGCCGCGUGAAGGACGAAGGUGCCAAGCAUUGUAAACUUCUUUUGUCAAGGGACAAAAUCAGGCUCGAGAGCCUGACCGAGGGUACUUGAAGAAAAAGCAUCGGCUAACUCCGUGCCAGCAGCCGCGGUAAUACGGAGGAUGCGAGCGUUAUCCGGAUUUAUUGGGUUUAAAGGGUGCGUAGGCGGACUGUUAAGUCAGCGGUAAAAGCCCGGGGCUCAACCCCGGCGCGCCGUUGAAACUGGCUGUCUUGAGAUGUCGAGAGGUAUGCGGAAUGCGCAGUGUAGCGGUGAAAUGCAUAGAUAUUGCGAAGAACCCCGAUUGCGAAGGCAGCAUACCGGCGGCGAUCUGACGCUGAGGCACGAAGGCGUGGGUAUCGAACAGGAUUAGAUACCCCUGUAGUC
This 459-nucleotide ribosomal RNA is filed under the name uncultured bacterium. Its description in RNAcentral is "partial 16S ribosomal RNA". It matches the Rfam family "Bacterial small subunit ribosomal RNA", at positions 338 to 795 of the family's 1533-position model. The record is from RNAcentral.